UUUCCGAGUGUCUUUGAAUGUUACGUGUCUUGCCUGUGUGUGGCUACGGAAGGAGGACAGUUGAGUUUAUCGAUAGUAGGUGGUUUUGUUUUGCAAUUAAGACAUUGUUGAUCCACCACCUCCUCGUCAGACGGUAAAAGCUCUUGAGCUUGUUCUGGAGUUUCUCCACCAGCUCCUGCAUCCGCUGAUUGGUCUUGUGGUCCUCCUCCGUCUGGAAGAUCAGCUCCUUGAGCCGACGCUCUCCCUUGCGCAGAACUUUCACCGUCUCGACGUGGCGCUUCUGCUCCUGGUCCAGCUCGUUCUCCAGCUCCUUGACCUUUAAAUGAAGCAAGAGUGAAGCAUCAGUUAAAGAGUGGAAUCAGAGAUUGUGUAUGUAGGAUGUCUCACCCUUGUUUCCAGUUUCUGGAUGAUGGGAGUUCCGUUCCUGUUCUUGGCGAAGCUCCUCGCACAGUCGCGUGGCCUGGUGUCCGACACAAGCGUCAACAUAGUCCGUGUUUGUCGUUUGAACUUGAUGAAGCUUACGUCGGUCACGGCCUUCUUGGCUCGCUCGUCGGCUGCACGGAACUCCGAGAUGAGCUCCUCGUUCUCACUGCUCCUGCUCGAUUAGCUUCCGGGCCCUCUCUGACGCCUCCAGACCCGCUCUCAGCUCCUCCAUCUCGGCUUGCAUGAGGCACAGGCGACGCUCCUGGAGGCUGUACUUCUCCCUCAGCUCGUCAUGGAGACCUAGGAGACCCGAAGAAGAGACCCUGCCUGAAGACAGCUGGGAUAGGCUCCAGCACCCCCCGCGACCGUCGUGAGGAUAAGCGGGCUUCGGCACGGCCUUUGGCUUCUGCCUCCAGGCUGGCCUGCAAGGACUCCACUGCCCGGGCGUGGUUCUUUCUGAAAGGACAAUAAAGAAUACCCUGUUGAGUACCCAAGUUCCUGAUGCUGUGAGAACGUCUCUUUAUGAGGAGUGGUCACCUGGUCACUUCGAACUCUUCCUCCUUCUCGUGGAUUCUGCGGUCGAUGUCAGCCUUGACUUGAGCCAACUCCAGCUGCACACGUACCAGCUUGCCUUCCUCCACCUGGAAGCCCUUUCUUCUUAGCCUUCUGCAGCUCGUGGAAGCUGCGGCCUCCUUCUCCAAGCUGCUCCACCAACUCCUUGAUCUCCUCUGUGAAGGGAAAACUGUAAAAAAAAGUAAAACACUUGGGACAAUCAAAAGGCCGUCUUCAGCUUGUAGAGCUCCGUCAUGUAAGAGCGGCUCUCCUUCUGACUGCUUUCCAGCUCCAGUUGGAGCUCCUCGUUCUUGCAGCUCCACUCGGCCGCCAGCUUGUCAAAAACCCGCUGCUUCUUAUCCAAAGUGGCGGCUGCUGCAUUGCUCUGCAGACACAGAGAUCUAUGGUGAGGUCCUCCACUUCGCCCUGGAGUCUCUGCUUAACCUUUUCUAAGCUGGCUGCUCUGGCUUGGGCCGCCUCUGCUGCUUCCUCCGCCUCCUGGAGACGCACUGCAAGUUUACGCCUGCAGGAGAGACAGCAGGCAGUGGAAUGAAACAAAAUGCAAGAAGUGACGUCGGCGUUAAGUUUGGACACGAGACGCUGCAUCUCUCCACGGGCUUCUGACUCCUCCUCCAGCUGCUCCUUCAGCAGGGAGAGGUCAUGGCGGGCGUUGGCCAAGGCCACCACGGCGGUGUUGCGACCCUGCAGGAAGGGCGGCAAAUGAGCGUCACGUGAUGUAAUUCAUACUGUGAUCCACAGGAUGCGUAUUGCGGCGUUUUACUUUGUUUUCUUCGUCCACCUGCCUCUUGAGCUCAUCCACCUGCAAGGUGAGCGAGGCCUUCAGCCUGCUCGCUUGGGUGAACUUGCUCUGCACGUCCUCCAGUUCUCUGCUCAGAUCGUUAUUCUCCGCUGCAUGAAUAGAGAUAAAAAUAAUUACGGUAUUGUACGUAUGUGGAUAUGUGUGCAUGUGUACCUGUCAGAUGGAUUUUAGCAGUGCUGAGCUCCGUCUGAGCGCGCUCCAUCUCAGCCAGGCGAGCGUUGGCCUCAGCCAGGUUGUCCUCCAGCUUGUGGGAGUGGACCUCAGCAUUCAUCUGCAAGCGCAUGAAGCUUGACUUUCAGUCUGGUCAGGUUCUCCAGUUGUUCGCCGAGCUCCGCCAUGGCGUCCGAGUGCUUCUUCCUCAGCGCCGCCGCCGUGGCCUCCGACUGGAGAGCGGCUUCCUCCAGCUCCCGUCUCAGCUUCAGGAGAUCGGCCUCCCGCUUCCUGUUUUGCUCGAUCUGAAGGCGGAGCGCACAUGCUGAGGUUCUGGAGCUUCUGCUGUCAGGUACUGUCGGUAAAGAACUCACCUGGGCGACAGUGGCCCCGCCCGCCUCUUCUAGCCUAUCACUGAGGUCAUCCAGAUCACGUGACAGCUCUGCUCUUUGCUUCUCCACCUGCGACAGAACACAUGUUAGUCAUUUAGCGUGAUUCUGUUCGUACCUUCAGGUGAUCCAACCUUGGCUCUCAUGGCUCUUUCAGCCUCCAGUUCUUCCUCCAGCUCCUCAAUGCGCCCCUGAAAGUCAUAGAAGUUACAUUCAUGUGUUUUAGAUAAAGUUUGACAUGAUAUCUCUACCUGGUGCUCUUUGAGCUUCCGGCCGAGCAUGGAGCUGAGGCCUUGCUCGUCCUCCAGCUUUGAGUUGAUGUUGUUGAUCUCAAAGUCUCUCCUAUAAGUGAACCCGAACAGCAAUCAGCAUCCCUGGAAGCCAUUUUCUUAUUUUACAGCUCUCACUUUUUGAUGACCUCCUCCAGGUCGACCUUAGCGUUCUCCAUCUCAUUGAGGUUCUCUAUGGUCAUCUUCAGGUCUCCUUCCGCCUUCCUCCUGGCUUUCUCCACCUCCGCUCUGAUCCUCUUCUCCUGCUCCCAGCUGUCCUCCAGCUACACACACACACACACACAAUGUUGCUUCUGUGAUUAUAAUAUGGGAAAGCUUACAUACCUCAUUCACUUGACUGUUGAGCUUGCUGUUGGUCUUGGUGAGGUGGUUGACCUUAUCUUCUUCCGUUUGGAGAUCAUCCAGAGUUUUCUGACCAAAUUAACAGUAAAUUAAAAGUACACAUAUUACUUCCUUUAUUCUUACCAACUUCCUAAAAAAACUAUAAAAUUGUACAAAAAACAGUUUUAGUAGUGCCCGUUUUCUUGUGUCUCCAAAUUACGACGCUAGAUGGGAACCUGAAUGCAUCAGGGCAGCCGCGCAACUUUGAGAGUUGUUGUCGUUGGUGUUUAGCUAACAAUGUGCGCCUCUAAAUGCGAGUAACCUGGUUAUUUCUCUUUCGUUCAAUAAUAGAUAGUUAAUAAUAAUAAUAGUUAUUAAUAAUAAUAGUUUGCACCGUGUUGUAAUUUUGUAUUGUGUGUGUGUGCCUUAUAAGCAUCCCGCCACCAUAUGCUGUUAAGCUAACUGUUAAGCUAAGUUAGCCUCGUUAGCAUAGUUCCGGAAACGGCUGUCAGCUUUGUUUUGUACUAAAUAUUCCACAUUGUAUUGUUAGCAUGCUAUUUAUGUUCUUAGUGUACUGCUGAGAUGUUUUUAUACAUAUAUUUAAAUGUAAAUUGGGCAAAUUUGCUUUUUUAGGGGUGUGUAUCAAACUGGUAGCCGUUUACAUUUAUCAGUACCCAAGAAGUAGCUAUUGGUUUAAAAAAAACGCGGUUUUCUGCCACUCUGCACAGAUUUUACCCGUUUUUCUUUCACAUUAUAUUAGGUCUGUCUUAGUUUUACACAACACAUAACAAAUAAGAUACAUUAAAUGGAAGUAAUGUACGUAUGUUCUGCUGGUGUGUUGAAAAUCUGUCCGGUCACUAGCUAGCUAGCUGCUAAUGCUAUAUAUGGUGCAUGGCUCUACAAUGGAUUAAUCAAAAAAAUAAUCGUUCACUAAAUGUUAGUCCACCUGUUGCAGUUCCUCCAGAGCUCUCCUUUCCUUCUGAAGCUUGGCUAUUUGGUCAUCUCGGUGGUUCAGAUCUCCUGUCAUUGUUCGAACCUUGAGGUCCAAACCCUAAACAAAAGACAGAGUUCAUCAAAUAAUCCUCAUAUUUAUUCUUCUGUACUUCCACCGCUGGUCCUCACACCUGUUUCUCCUUUUCAGUUUUGGUCAGUGUCGACUCCAGGGACUCCAGGUCGCUCUUCAGCUCAUUCAUUUCCCCCUCCAGCUGUCUCCUCUGGGCGUGGAGGGAGGCCGCGUUGCCUUCUUCUUCUUCCAGACGCUCUCGCAGAUCCUGAGAAUGCAUUUUUAAGCACAUUAUUAUUGAAAAUUUUGAUGGAUUUAUUGCCUUGGAAUGUGUAAGAAGUUACCUGCACUGACUCCUCCAGGUGAACCUUUUGGUGCAUCAUUUGGGUGCAGCGCUCCUCCGCAUCACCCAGCGUGUCCUGCUCCUGUUGGCAGAGAAGAGUGAACAUCUUCCCUUCCAGGUCUUUGACCUUGCCCUCCAUCUCUUUGACUUUCUCCACCGCCGCAUGCAACUCUUCCUCUUUCGCCUUGAAGAUCUCCUCCUGGCGGGCGACCAUUAGGAGAGGCUUCACCUGCACGAGCCAAGGCAGUCAGAAUAUGCCGCGACCUACACAUGGCAGAUGGGCCACACGUUGGACACCCUGAUGUAAGGCUAUUGCACUGAAUGUAAUAGCGUACCUUGCUGUGGCCGAUACGGUACUCCAUGCUGUCCAGGCCAAUCGAGGUCAAGAGGAGCUCAGAUGCCUUUUUGUUGUCAACGAAUCCCUUUGGGAUGACGUUGGGGUUGAGGAUGUAAUACCUGGAGAGUAUUCACACAAUGACACGUCAAAGUGUGUAAAAACUAACUAUCGCCAUGUUAUGCUACCUCUGCUUAAAUUCCGGAUACUGCAGCCGGUUGGGGAACCCCUUCCUGCAGAUGCGGAUGCCCUCCAGCACGCCGUUGCAGGCCAGCUGGUGCAGGAUCAGGUACUUCCGGGACCCCCGAUGAUGGUGUGGGAGGUUUCCACUUCAUUCCACAUCAGAAAACUGCGAUUUUAAAGAGUUGAAAAAAAAAACAAAGGCUAACCCCUUACAUUUUAUUUCGAAAAAUCAACACCUGAAAAAAUUGUCUUUUUUUUGCAUUUCUAGGUCCUUCCGGGACCCCCGAUGAUGGUGUGGGAGGUUUCCACUUCAUUCUACAUCAGAAAACUGCGAUUUUAAAGAGUUAAAAAAAACCCAAAGGCUAACACCUUACGUUUUUUUCCAAAAAUCAACACCUGAAAAAAUAGUCUUUUUUUUGCAUUUCUGGGUAUUCUGGUUGGUAUUAAACACAGCAGUAAAAUAAGUGUUUUUUGACAAUGCAUGCUUUACCCUGUAGAAGUUGGAGACGGUCUGGAAGGAAGAGCCUUUCUUUUGUUUCUUGACCCCUGUCGCCGACUCCUCUUCUUUGAAGAGCAGAGCCAGCAGCGGCAUGGAGGAUUUCUGGAAGAGUCCCACCACCGUCUCAUUGAGGGGGUCUUUGUUCUUCUCCAGCCAGCCGCCGAUGCUGUAGCCCACCUGUGAGAGGACUCACCGUGCCGGCGUAGUGCACCAAUUCAAAGUGGGCCUCCGGUCCUUUCUUCCCCCCUUUGGGUUUAAGGAAGUUGGACGACUUGCCCAGAUGGUUGUCAUAGAGAGCCGCCUUGAAGGUCAUGUCUGUCGCCUUUGGGAACACGCACUGCUCCUCCAGGAUGGAGAAGAUCCCCAUGGGCUGGUGACAACAGCGAGACAGACAAAACGGCACACAUGCACAAACAUGUGGUGGUUGAAGAACUGCUGGAGUUUCUCGUUGGUGAAGUUGAUGCACAGCUGCUCAAAGCUGUUAAACUGGGAGACAACACCAGUGACAAUGAGACUGUGUUGGUCCGAGAAGCAAACAGUCUUAUUGAUGCGGGUCACCAUCCACUUGAACAUGCGGUCGUAGAUGGCUUUGGCCAGCGCACCGAUGGAGUACACACACUGGUCCUGGUUUUGACCUUGUGGAGCUCGCCAGAGUUGAUGGCCAUGAGAUGGGAGACUUUGUCGGCCACUUGAGUACAGGGAAGAUGAGCAUGAGUACUGUUUUGAGGAGUGAAGCCGAGGACAUCGAAUGCCUCCUGGAGACACGCAGAGAUUCCACAAGAGCUGGUAGAAGAUGUGGUAUCCUCUCUCAGCGGCCUGCUGGGAAAUCACUCUGGAUUUCUCCAACAGAUCUGAUGCACCCAAACACACCGGAGCAGCCACAUCGUCAGUAUUUGAACGCAGCAGCAAGAGUGUUCUUGGCCGUCUUGAUGGUGACUUUGUCCCCAUCUUCGGAUUGCAUCUCCCCAGCGACGAAAGCCUCCUUCUCGUCUUUGACCCAGCAGGAGCGCUUAAUGUCAUACGGCGUAUUCAUGGCAUCCAUACGCUCCUUCUCCGUGGGAGCCAGGAACGGCAUCGGGUCCACAUCGUCCCCGCACUCCCCUUUGUACGCACCCGGCAUGGCUGCUGCUUGACCAGCUCACUCACCUUUCAGACUGUGGCUGUAAAAUUCAUACCAAACGAGGCACGCAGAAGAACAUUGGGGUGUUGUUGAGGUCAGGCCGUUAUAUAUAUGAGCGUCGUUCCCGCCUGAUAUGGUCACGACUCUAAAACCAGCCAUCACCCAGCGGUGUCAUCCUUCUGAUCGGCCUGCUCCGACCACUGACAGCACGGGAUCUGGGAAUUCUUCAUCUGCCUCCUCUGUCCAUUUAGGGGGGUUUCCUCGGAAGGGCAUCACUCACCCCACAUCCAUCUUCUCCACCACUGAAAUACCAUCUCGUCUCCACUCAUCCACAAGACUAUCUCGGGCAUCACCGCGGCCACCUGUGGGGUUGUUGACGUGGAAAAAUGGAAGGAGGACAGAUGCAGAGCAAUGGCGCCGGGCGGUGAAGAGUCGGUGGGAAAUUGUGCGAGAAAGAUAAGGGAAAGUAUGAUUUUCUACUAUACGAGGCUGAACGCAAAGGUCGAGACGGCAGCUGCGUGUUUGUUAUUUGAAUGCUGAGCAUUACUUGCGUCCGGCCCACUCCGCUUAUGUGGAUUUACUGAAUCCUGUGGCCUGAAAACAGUCUAAUCAGAGGCUCCAUUGUUCCACCGGCUAAUACUGCCGCAGUCGAACCAACCCCAGGGCGGCCUGUGAGCCAAAUCCCAACAGCCCCGAUCCAUGCACAUCGAGCACUUUAGUUCCUGAUAAACAUUUGAAGCGCAUCAUAUGAUCGCAGAUCAGGAGCGUCAUGUGAUUAUUGGGCUUCUACGCAGCCACAGGCGAUAUGCAUUAAUGACGUCAAUUGUGUGGCUAACCGGGGGAAGAAAAUGGGUGAUGACUUGUAUUUAGGCAUUCACAGCAGUGUUCCUCAACUGGUUGGUUGUGGGAAAAAUACAUGAAAAUAUUUUUAGUAAUUUUAAAUACUUAUAUUUCAAAAUAAUAAGAAA
Molecule: non-coding RNA, 7395 nt
Organism: Doryrhamphus excisus (bluestripe pipefish)
Lineage: Eukaryota; Metazoa; Chordata; Actinopteri; Syngnathiformes; Syngnathidae
Source: RefSeq, a predicted model, not a curated record